GAUGAACGCUGGCGGCGUGCCUAAUACAUGCAAGUCGAGCGAACGGACGAGAAGCUUGCUUCUCUGAUGUUAGCGGCGGACGGGUGAGUAACACGUGGAUAACCUACCUAUAAGACUGGGAUAACUUCGGGAAACCGUAGCUAAUACCGGAUAAUAUUUUGAACCGCAUGGUUCAAAAGUGAAAGACGGUCUUGCUGUCACUUAUAGAUGGAUCCGCGCUGCAUUAGCUAGUUGGUAAGGUAACGGCUUACCAAGGCAACGAUGCAUAGCCGACCUGAGAGGGUGAUCGGCCACACUGGAACUGAGACACGGUCCAGACUCCUACGGGAGGCAGCAGUAGGGAAUCUUCCGCAAUGGGCGAAAGCAUGACGGAGCAACGCCGCGUGAGUGAUGAAGGUCUUCGGAUCGGAAAACUCUGUUAUUAGGGAAGAACAUAUGUGUAAGUAACUGUGCACAUCUUGACGGUACCUAAUCAGAAAGCCACGGCUAACUACGUG
This 497-nucleotide ribosomal RNA is filed under the name uncultured bacterium. Its description in RNAcentral is "partial 16S ribosomal RNA". It matches the Rfam family "Bacterial small subunit ribosomal RNA", at positions 28 to 507 of the family's 1533-position model. The record is from RNAcentral.